This is a long non-coding RNA of Gadus morhua (Atlantic cod), 679 nucleotides long. The record is from Ensembl. NCBI's taxonomy places the organism in Eukaryota, Metazoa, Chordata, Actinopteri, Gadiformes, Gadidae.
AACGUCUCUGCCACCAGUCGUAUGGAAGGGGAGAAUUGGAGGUACCUGGUCAGGUCUUGGUCAGCCUUCAAAUCCCAGAUGUGGAGACUGCAGGGAUACCUCACAGAGAAGACACUAAAGAGUCAUCUCUCAUUCAUCGAGUGGACUCAUUGGUUUGCGAAUGACCACAAAGAUGCUCCCAUAGGCAGAUUGCUGCAUGGUAUUCAACACUUAUUCAAAUUGUAGAGGUUGAAGCAGUCUUCCUUGUGGUCACUUGCCAUAACACUGUCAUGUGAUUUAUCAAAACACCAUCAGUAACAUUUUAAUUGAGUUGAUGUGGACGGCUCUUUUUUUUUGUCUGAUUUUUUUUCAGUGUUCAGUGCCUGUUUGUGAGAUAUGCAUUGUUUGAAAGAUAAGCCUUUGAUUUUGUUUAAUUUUAAUAUGCCUUUCAUCAUCAGUGGUUUGGGGUUUUAUAACAACAAUUAAAGUGCUUAACUACUGGUGAACGAUGUUGCAGAACAUAUAUGGUCUGUGUUCAUUGCAUGGAAAAGGGAAUAACCCGUUACAACUUAUAUGGUAAGAACCUGGUAAUACCAUGGAAACAAACAAGGCUUCCUUUUACAGUACAGUUUCAGCUUAAUUACUGGGUAAAUCGUCGUGUUUUACAUGGGAACGUCGCAGAACGUACAUGGGACAAGUU